This 451-nucleotide unclassified non-coding RNA is filed under the name Hevea brasiliensis (rubber tree). Lineage: Eukaryota; Viridiplantae; Streptophyta; Magnoliopsida; Malpighiales; Euphorbiaceae. The record is from RNAcentral.
GAAAGCAUGUAACAUUUCUUCCCAGUCCAUUUGUCCAACGUAAAACUCUAAUCCAUGCAUAUGUUCAAAUUAAAUUACGUAACUCAGAACCAAAGAUUGAAGUUGAAUAAAAGAACAAAAAUGUACCUUUUUGCCAUCGUCGAUGAGGAUUGGGUUUUGGCAGAGUCUGAAAUAGAGUUGUUUCUUGGAAGAGGAAGAAGCCGAUAGAGAUUGAUGAUCAAGGGAGCGGGAGAUAAUUGACUGAAAAUCCGUUGGCAGGAAUCUCUCCCAAACGGUGUCGGAUUCAGCGGCAUUAUUGAACAAAGAAGAGACGACGGACAAAGUACAGGCAUCGUAAGGACUUGUAAACGACAGGACGUUUGAUAUGCAACCUUCAGGCAACGCCGAGAUGCCUGUUCCUUGGCUAGCGUCCAUUGUAAAUUGAAAUGAUUGUUUUGAUGUUUUGGGGUUG